Molecule: non-coding RNA, 69 nt
Organism: Merluccius polli (Benguela hake)
Lineage: Eukaryota; Metazoa; Chordata; Actinopteri; Gadiformes; Merlucciidae
Source: the annotation of a GenBank genome assembly
AGCUCUACUGGGUAGUAGAGCAUGGCGUGAACACCGCCAGGGUCAAGGGUUCGAUUCCCUCUGGCGCCA